AUUGAACGCUGGCGGCAUGCCUUACACAUGCAAGUCGAACGGUAACGCGGGGCAACCUGGCGACGAGUGGCGAACGGGUGAGUAACACAUCGGAACGUGCCCAGUAGUGGGGGAUAGCCCGGCGAAAGCCGGAUUAAUACCGCAUACGACCUAAGGGUGAAAGCAGGGGAUCGCAAGACCUUGCGCUAUUGGAGCGGCCGAUGUCAGAUUAGGUAGUUGGUGGGGUAAAAGCCUACCAAGCCGACGAUCUGUAGCUGGUCUGAGAGGACGACCAGCCACACUGGGACUGAGACACGGCCCAGACUCCUACGGGAGGCAGCAGUGGGGAAUUUUGGACAAUGGGCGCAAGCCUGAUCCAGCCAUGCCGCGUGCGGGAAGAAGGCCUUCGGUUGUAACCGCUUUGUCAGGGAAGAAACGGUCUGGGUUAAUACCCUGGGCUAAUGACGGUACCUGAAGAAUAAGACACCGGCUAACUACGUGCCAGCAGCCGCGGUAAU
Molecule: ribosomal RNA, 497 nt
Filed under: uncultured bacterium
Lineage: Bacteria
Description: bacterial SSU rRNA
Rfam family: Bacterial small subunit ribosomal RNA
Source: RNAcentral